UGGGGAAUAUUGCACAAUGGGGGAAACCCUGAUGCAGCGACGCCGCGUGAGCGAAGAAGUAUCUCGGUAUGUAAAGCUCUAUCAGCAGGGAAGAAAAUGACGGUACCUGACUAAGAAGCCCCGGCUAACUACGUGCC
This 137-nucleotide ribosomal RNA is filed under the name uncultured bacterium. RNAcentral describes it as "partial 16S ribosomal RNA". It matches the Rfam family "Bacterial small subunit ribosomal RNA", at positions 355 to 509 of the family's 1533-position model. The record is from RNAcentral.